AUUUUGCGAUAGGGAUUGUCGUGGAAAUCCUUUUUACGUAGUAGUCUUUGCAAGUAAAAAGAUUGGAACAGAAAGCCCGCCCGAUC
RNAcentral lists this small RNA (86 nucleotides) under Chishuiella changwenlii. RNAcentral's name for it is "Flavo-1 RNA". It matches the Rfam family "Flavo-1 RNA". The record is from RNAcentral. Lineage: Bacteria; Pseudomonadati; Bacteroidota; Flavobacteriia; Flavobacteriales; Weeksellaceae.